AACGAACGCUGGCGGCGCGCCUAAUACAUGCAAGUCGAGCGAGAAGGUGUAGCAAUACACUUGUAAAGCGGCGAACGGGUGAGGAAUGCAUGGGUAACCUACCCUCGAGUGGGGAAUAACUAGCCGAAAGGUUAGCUAAUACCGCAUACGUUUCCGGAACUUCGGUUUCGGAAAGAAAGCAAUACCGUGGGUAUUGCGCUCCUGGAUGGGCUCAUGUCCUAUCAGCUUGUUGGUGAGGUAACGGCUCACCAAGGCUUCGACGGGUAGCUGGUCUGAGAGGACGAUCAGCCACACUGGCACUGCGACACGGGCCAGACUCCUACGGGAGGCAGCAGUAAGGAAUAUUGCGCAAUGGACGAAAGUCUGACGCAGCGACGCCGCGUGGGGGAUGAAGGUCUUCGGAUUGUAAACCCCCUUUCGGGAGGGAAGAUGGAGUGGGUAACCACUUGGACGGUACCUCCAGAAGCAGCCACGGCUAACUUCGUGCCAGCAGCCGCGGUAAU
Molecule: ribosomal RNA, 503 nt
Filed under: uncultured bacterium
Lineage: Bacteria
Description: bacterial SSU rRNA
Rfam family: Bacterial small subunit ribosomal RNA
Source: RNAcentral